GAUGAAGAACGCAGCGAAAUGCGAUAAGUAGUGUGAAUUGCAGAAUUCAGUGAAUCAUCGAAUCUUUGAACGCACAUUGCGCCCCUUCGUAUCCCGAGGGGCAUGCCUGUUCGAGCGUCAUUUCACCACUCAAGCCUGGCUUGGUGUUGGGCGACGUCCUCUUUGGGGACGCGCCUCGAAACGCUCGGCGGCGUGGCACCGGCUUUAAGCGUAGCAGAAUCCUUCGCUUUGGAAGUCGGGGCCCCGUCUGCCGGAAGACCUGCUCGCAAGGUUGACCUCGGAUCAGGCAGGGAUACCCGCUGAACUUAAGCAUAUCAAUAAGCGGAGGA
RNAcentral lists this unclassified non-coding RNA (329 nucleotides) under soil metagenome. Its description in RNAcentral is "partial contains 5.8S ribosomal RNA, internal transcribed spacer 2, and large subunit ribosomal RNA". The stretch from base 1 to 120 matches the Rfam family "5.8S ribosomal RNA", at positions 35 to 154 of the family's 154-position model. The record is from RNAcentral.